GUGCUUGCUUACUUCAGCAGCACAUAUACUAAAAAGCUGGAACAAUACAGAGAUUAGCAUGGUCCAUACACAAGGAUGACACCCAAAUUCAGAAGCAUCCCAUUAAA
Molecule: small nuclear RNA, 107 nt
Organism: Echinops telfairi (small Madagascar hedgehog)
Lineage: Eukaryota; Metazoa; Chordata; Mammalia; Afrosoricida; Tenrecidae
Source: Ensembl